This 88-nucleotide ribosomal RNA is filed under the name Acinetobacter baumannii. RNAcentral describes it as "partial 16S ribosomal RNA". It matches the Rfam family "Bacterial small subunit ribosomal RNA", at positions 1 to 87 of the family's 1533-position model. The record is from RNAcentral. Lineage: Bacteria; Pseudomonadati; Pseudomonadota; Gammaproteobacteria; Moraxellales; Moraxellaceae.
UAACUGAAGAGUUUGAUCAUGGCUCAGAUUGAACGCUGGCGGCAGGCUUAACACAUGCAAGUCGAGCGGGGGAAGGUAGCUUGCUACU